This 372-nucleotide ribosomal RNA is filed under the name uncultured organism. Its description in RNAcentral is "partial 16S ribosomal RNA". It matches the Rfam family "Bacterial small subunit ribosomal RNA", at positions 527 to 896 of the family's 1533-position model. The record is from RNAcentral.
GUAGGUGGCAAGCGUUGUCCGGAAUUAUUGGGCGUAAAGCGCGCGCAGGCGGUUCUUUAAGUCUGAUGUGAAAGCCCACGGCUCAACCGUGGAGGGUCAUUGGAAACUGGAGAACUUGAGUACAGAAGAGGAAAGCGGAAUUCCACGUGUAGCGGUGAAAUGCGUAGAGAUGUGGAGGAACACCAGUGGCGAAGGCGGCUUUCUGGUCUGUAACUGACGCUGAGGCGCGAAAGCGUGGGGAGCAAACAGGGAUUAGAUACCCUGGUAGUCCACGCCGUAAACGAUGAGUGCUAAGUGUUAGGGGGUUUCCGCCCCCUUAGUGCUGCAGCUAACGCAUAAAGCACUCCGCCUGGGGAUACGGCCGCAAGGCUG